This 253-nucleotide ribosomal RNA is filed under the name uncultured bacterium. RNAcentral's name for it is "partial 16S ribosomal RNA". It matches the Rfam family "Bacterial small subunit ribosomal RNA", at positions 524 to 776 of the family's 1533-position model. The record is from RNAcentral.
UACGGGGGGGGCAAGCGUUGUUCGGAAUUACUUGGCGUAAAGGGCUCGUAGGUGGCCAACUAAGUCAGACGUGAAAUCCCUCGGCUUAACCGGGGAACUGCGUCUGAUACUGGAUGGCUUGAGUUCGGGAGAGGGAUGCGGAAUUCCAGGUGUAGCGGUGAAAUGCGUAGAUAUGCGGAGGAACACCGAUGGCGAAGGCAAUCCCCUGGGCCUGCACUGACGCUCAUGCACGAAAGCGUGGGGAGCAAACUGG